Molecule: ribosomal RNA, 497 nt
Filed under: uncultured bacterium
Lineage: Bacteria
Description: partial 16S ribosomal RNA
Rfam family: Bacterial small subunit ribosomal RNA
Source: RNAcentral
GAUGAACGCUGGCGGCGUGCCUAAUACAUGCAAGUCGAGCGAACGGACGAGAAGCUUGCUUCUCUGAUGUUAGCGGCGGACGGGUGAGUAACACGUGGAUAACCUACCUAUAAGACUGGGAUAACUUCGGGAAACCGGAGCUAAUACCGGAUAAUAUUUUGAACCGCAUGGUUCAAAAGUGAAAGACGGUCUUGCUGUCACUUAUAGAUGGAUCCGCGCUGCAUUAGCUAGUUGGUAAGGUAACGGCUUACCAAGGCAACGAUGCAUAGCCGACCUGAGAGGAUGAUCAGCCACACUGGAACUGAGACACGGUCCAGACUCCUACGGGAGGCAGCAGUAGGGAAUCUUCCGCAAUGGGCGAAAGCCUGACGGAGCAACGCCGCGUGAGUGAUGAAGGUCUUCGGAUCGUAAAGCUCUGUUAUUAGGGAGGAACAUAUGUGUAAGUAACUGUGCACAUCUUGACGGUACCUAAUCAGAAAGCCACGGCUAACUACGUG